This 435-nucleotide ribosomal RNA is filed under the name uncultured bacterium. Its description in RNAcentral is "bacterial SSU rRNA". It matches the Rfam family "Bacterial small subunit ribosomal RNA", at positions 48 to 507 of the family's 1533-position model. The record is from RNAcentral.
GUAACGGGAAGUAAGUAAAUUUUUUGUAGACUAUACAGUAAGUUUUUUUAGUGGCGAACGGGUGAGUAAUAUAUAGGAACUUACUCAAUAGUGGGGGAUAACAGUUGGAAACGACUGCUAAUACCGCAUAUUCCCGAGAGGGGAAAGGUAUUUAUAUCGCUAUCGAAGAGGUCUUAUAUCUGAUUAGCUAGUUGGUGAGAUAACUGCUUACCAAGGCAUAGAUCAGGUAGCCGGUCUGAGAGGAUGAUCGGCCACAUUGGGACUGAGAUACGGCCCAAACUCCUACGGGGAGGCAGCAGUAGGGAAUAUUGGACAAUGGACGAAAGUCUGAUCCAGCAAUGCCGCGUGAGUGAUGAAGGUGUUAUGCAUCGUAAAGCUCUUUUAACAGGGAAGAUAAUGACAGUACCUGUAGAAUAAGCACCGACUAACUAUGUG